Long non-coding RNA from Acanthaster planci (crown-of-thorns starfish), 3321 nucleotides. The record is from RefSeq and is a predicted model, not a curated record. NCBI's taxonomy places the organism in Eukaryota, Metazoa, Echinodermata, Asteroidea, Valvatida, Acanthasteridae.
GUAUGCUUAGGCCUAUAUGAAUUUGCAUAUUGAAGAGCAGAACUGUUUUGUAAUCCAAUUUCCAAACCUUUAUACUUUCAGCAAGUCAUCAGCAUAGAAGUCAGUGCUCAACUGUGGUUAAACCCCAAGCUUUCUACGGGGUCCUUCUUCAUUCAUGGGGUUUCCUGCUACAGUACUAUCGCUGCUGAAUAUCAGCGACAUACCUUGCAGGCGGCAUUUAAAAUAUGUACCUGCAUACCAGAGAGACGGCUCGCGCUUUCAUGCGCGAAUAGUCGGUGAAUGGAACCUGCAUAACAGUGUCACGUGACGUUGUUGAAAUUGGCGGAAUGUUUUGUCAAAUUCUGUUAUUGAACUCACUGAUUUGAGGAGUUUGUUUGGCAAACGUGUACACAAGUAGGAGAAAUUUUGGCAAGUUUAAUAUUUCCCCUAACAAAAUUGAAAGCGUCGGCGCUUCAAACCUCUGUAGGCCAAAGCAGUUUUUUGAGACACGUCCCGAACGGGAAAAUGGGUUACUUUUAGAACGAAGGGUGAACAUCGUAACAUUUAAGAAGGAACAUUUUGGCCCUUGGAACAUGUUCUUGUGAAUUGAAUCUUCUAGUUGAAACCUUGGAAGAACUAUUUAAAAACAAUGGUGUCCAUUAACCCGACGGCUUGGUGUUCGGGUUUUUUGUUUGUUUGUUGGGGUGUUUGUUUGUUUGUUUGCUUUUUAUUUAUGUAUUUUUGGUCUUUUUGACAAUUUUUCUUUUACAUUUAUUGCUCUUCUUUGUGUGUAUGGAAUUCACUGCCAGGCCGACUUCCCGCUCGGUGGAAUUUUUUGUGUCCAGUGAGCCUUAUGUCAACAAACCGUACACUCAUUGUUUGUUGCGUUGGCUGGCUGGGGAUCGCAGGUGAUCUGGGUUUUGCGCAGUUGAUCAACUCGGCAAGCCUCUAUACUAGUCCAGUGUUUUUUUUUUUUCAAAGCCAAUGGGGAGUUAUUUGGAGACUGCAUGGAGCGCGUGGAGUACUGGAUAUAAUCGGAUGAUCAAAGUACACCAAGGCAGAUCUGAAGUUAUGGGGAAGCUGCGGUCUGACGUGGAAUGUGAUAAACAUCCUCUUGGAGAAAGAAAUGCGCUGACGAAACGGCGGAUCGAAAGGCAUGCUAUACAGGGCAAGAGGACGGGAGUUCCGAGGAGAGGUUACAUGAACUGUGCAAUGAGGCGGGUACCAGGUCUGAAGUUACGGGGAAAUUGCGGUCUGCCGAGCUAGGAGUGGUUAUCUGGGGAACUACCCGACUCACAGAAUAACAUUACUCGCUACAUGCAAUGUGCCGCCAUUUGAAAGGUCAACGAAAAGGUGAGAUCGAGUUUAUGGUCAACUUGUUUAUGAUGAAUAAUUAUUCAGCCAAAACAGCCUUUUCUUUGAAGGAGACUUUUCCGUAAGUUUUCUGUAGGUUAAGUUGAAAUCAAUAUCUAAAGCGUUUACUCACGCUGCUAUUUUUGUGUAUCGAUCGCUCUAUGGUCACAGUAUGAUUGUUGUCCUUAUGAUAUUGUGAUACUGUUUUGUACAUCGGUGAUCAGCUGGGUGAGUGUCCAAGACCAGUGUUUUAUUCAACAACCUGUUAAAGACAGAAAUACGUUGACGAAACGGCUGGCAGACCAAAGUGCACAAGGCGUAGGCCUGAGGACCGCGGUUCUGAGGUGACAGGGUGAUCCAACCAACCACGCCUAAUUUUUGCAGUCUGCCGUGGAAUGUUGGUAUGGCCUGGGGCGGGGAACUCCCCUCACUGCAGGACUACGCUACGUGCUGUCAAGUGAAAUCUGAAGUUGAGGCGCAUCCUGGGUCCUGUGCAACCCAUUUGAUGGGCGUUCCAGGACGGCGACGCUCGACGGCGGGAUGGGAGCAUCAAGUCUCGUAUUUGUGAAGGUCAUCAUGCCCUCGCUGUUUCGUCUCGAGCCCGGUCACUCUUAUUCGACGUGGUCUUCGUCCCCAUUGCAGCUCAUUUUUAUACCAUCAAGGACUGAACUGUUUUCGCCAUCUAUAGAGUCCAGCACUGCCUGCCAAGCUCUCGCCCGCAUUAAAAGAACAUCUUGUUUAUAAAAGAUCUCUUCUUGAUUCUUUAUCCUUAUCAUUGUAAACUAGUUCCAAUCAGCAUUUUUUGUCCGUAUUUUUUACAUGCUAAGUGUAACAUUCUCAUUAAAUUCUAAUGUCUUGUUUAUUUCUUCCUUAUAUCAAACAUAUCUUGUUUGAUUCCUUUGCUGCAUCGGAUAAAACUCAAGCUUCAGAAUUACUAUAAGUGUGGAGUUUUUCGGAUCGUAACAAUGGUAGGAAGUUGUGUAAUUUAUGUGGGACUUUAAUUAAAACACUCAAAGCUUGCCAUAGUUCUGCCAACCGUUGAGAAGUAGAGGUGGACAGUCGUACAUAUAUAGUAUGCAAAGAAUGUCGUUCAUGAGUGGAGUGGUGAAAAACACAUUGAAGCCGACUGGAAUGGAACAUUUCCGCCUGUCACCAAAUGAAAUUAUUCAUUCCAUUGACUGUGAAAUAGACUGGAUUGAAGUGCUGCUUGACCGCACAAUCCAUGCGUUCACUCGUCAUAAACCAUCCAUAGAGCACAGGGCGCUGGCAAGGGCAAAUGAAUGACGUAUUUUUUGUCGCUAACUAAUAGGCCUAUUGGAUGGAGUUUAUUUUAACAUUUGAACACGGGUCGACACUUCCGGCCUGGUGCGCAUGACACGUGUGCACUUAUGCUAUAUUUGGAGACGGAGGGCAUUAAGUAACCUCAAAUGCUUUGAGUGUCCCAAACUGUGAGGUAUUUUAUGCUUUGCAAUUGUAAAAGUGCUAUUUUUGAUCUUCAUUAUAAAGGUGGUGUAGGCCUACACCAUUGGUGAAAUUCCGAGAAUCGGACUACCGAAUAAUCCUGAAAUAUCUUUUUUUGACAGAAAGUACACAACAGUCUCAAUCAGUCUGUAAAAUAUUUCCACCCAGAAUGCUGUAGUUUUCGAGAAAAAAACAAUUCGUUCUCUUUUUUCGCACAUCACAUCCUUUAACAGGCGCCAAUUUUCUGUAUUUAUUGUUUGCAGAUGUCAUGUUAUGGGAGUCUCCAUUUUAAUGAACGGAUAACUUAAAGCAGCUAAAAUAUAUACCGACAUUCUUUCAGGAAAAGCACUGUGAACGGAAAUUAUAGAAAUCUGAGUGUUAGGCGUAAAGUAGAAAAUAAAUUGGAUCAGUGGGAAGUUGAAUUUUAUUUAAGGAAAGGUUUUUCUAAGCCGAAAAACUUUGCAAAUUCAAAAUCACCCUUAGAUAAUAAAGGUAUGAUCCAACAUGGCGGCUUUUCUUGAGCAUGAA